CCUACGGGUGGCAGCAGUGAGGAAUAUUGGUCAAUGGGCGCGAGCCUGAACCAGCCAAGUCGCGUGAGGGAAGACGGCCCUACGGGUUGUAAACCUCUUUUGCCGGGGAGCAACGGGCGCCACGUGUGGCGCCACUGUGAGUACCCGGACAAAAAGCAUCGGCUAACGCCGUGCCAGCAGCCGCGGUAAUACGGAGGAUGCGAGCGUUAUCCGGAUUUAUUGGGUUUAAAGGGUGCGUAGGCGGAUCGUCAAGUCAGUGGUCAAAUCGAGGGGCUCAACCCCUUGCCGCCAUUGAAACUGGCGCUCUUGAGUGGAAGAGAAGUAGGCGGAAUGCGGGGUGUAGCGGUGAAAUGCAUAGAUAUCACGAAGAACCCCGAUGGCGAAGGCAGCAUGCCGGGUUCCUACUGACGCUGAGGCACGAAAGCGUGGGGAUCGAACAGGAUUAGAUACCCCGGUAGUC
RNAcentral lists this ribosomal RNA (460 nucleotides) under uncultured bacterium. RNAcentral describes it as "partial 16S ribosomal RNA". It matches the Rfam family "Bacterial small subunit ribosomal RNA", at positions 338 to 795 of the family's 1533-position model. The record is from RNAcentral.